This 206-nucleotide ribosomal RNA is filed under the name uncultured bacterium. RNAcentral describes it as "partial 16S ribosomal RNA". It matches the Rfam family "Bacterial small subunit ribosomal RNA", at positions 568 to 774 of the family's 1533-position model. The record is from RNAcentral.
UACGUAGGCGGCCAAAUAAGUCAGGCGUGAAAGGCAUCGGCUCAACCGGUGUAAGCGCUUGAAACUGUUUGGCUUGAGUACAGGAGAGGAAAGUGGAAUUCCUAGUGUAGCGGUGAAAUGCGUAGAUAUUAGGAGGAACACCAGUGGCGAAGGCGACUUUCUGGACUGUAACUGACGCUGAGGUAUGAAAGCGUGGGGAGCGAACA